GACGAACGCUGGCGGCGUGCUUAACACAUGCAAGUCGAACGGAAAGGCCCUGCUUUUGUGGGGUGCUCGAGUGGCGAACGGGUGAGUAACACGUGAGUAACCUGCCCUUGACUUUGGGAUAACUUCAGGAAACUGGGGCUAAUACCGGAUAGGAGCUCCUGCUGCAUGGUGGGGGUUGGAAAGUUUCGGCGGUUGGGGAUGGACUCGCGGCUUAUCAGCUUGUUGGUGGGGUAGUGGCUUACCAAGGCUUUGACGGGUAGCCGGCCUGAGAGGGUGACCGGCCACAUUGGGACUGAGAUACCGCCCAGACUCCUACGGGGGGCAGCAGUGGGGAAUAUUGCCCAAUGGGCGGAAGCCUGAUGCAGCAACGCCGCGUGCGGGAUGACGGCCUUCCGGUUGUAAACCGCUUUCGCCUGUUACGAAGCGUGAGUGACGGUAAUGGGUAAAGAAGCACCGGCUAACUACGUG
This 468-nucleotide ribosomal RNA is filed under the name uncultured bacterium. Its description in RNAcentral is "partial 16S ribosomal RNA". It matches the Rfam family "Bacterial small subunit ribosomal RNA", at positions 28 to 507 of the family's 1533-position model. The record is from RNAcentral.